RNAcentral lists this ribosomal RNA (567 nucleotides) under uncultured bacterium. RNAcentral describes it as "bacterial SSU rRNA". It matches the Rfam family "Bacterial small subunit ribosomal RNA", at positions 67 to 605 of the family's 1533-position model. The record is from RNAcentral.
CGCUUCUUUCCUCCCGAGUGCUUGCACUCAAUUGGAAAGAGGAGUGGCGGACGGGUGAGUAACACGUGGGUAACCUACCCAUCAGAGGGGGAUAACACUUGGAAACAGGUGCUAAUACCGCAUAACAGUUUAUGCCGCAUGGCAUAAGAGUGAAAGGCGCUUUCGGGUGUCGCUGAUGGAUGGACCCGCGGUGCAUUAGCUAGUUGGUGAGGUAACGGCUCACCAAGGCCACGAUGCAUAGCCGACCUGAGAGGGUGAUCGGCCACACUGGGACUGAGACACGGCCCAGACUCCUACGGGAGGCAGCAGUAGGGAAUCUUCGGCAAUGGACGAAAGUCUGACCGAGCAACGCCGCGUGAGUGAAGAAGGUUUUCGGAUCGUAAAACUCUGUUGUUAGAGAAGAACAAGGACGUUAGUAACUGAACGUCCCCUGACGGUAUCUAACCAGAAAGCCACGGCUAACUACGUGCCAGCAGCCGCGGUAAUACGUAGGUGGCAAGCGUUGUCCGGAUUUAUUGGGCGUAAAGCGAGCGCAGGCGGUUUCUUAAGUCUGAUGUGAAAGCCCCC